This is a long non-coding RNA of Dreissena polymorpha, 605 nucleotides long. RefSeq lists it as uncharacterized. The record is from RefSeq and is a predicted model, not a curated record. The transcript has 2 exons. NCBI's taxonomy places the organism in Eukaryota, Metazoa, Mollusca, Bivalvia, Myida, Dreissenidae.
CCUGAUGUAUGGACUUUUUUACCAGGUUUUUACACUGCACGAGCUGGCCAACUUGAGGGGAACAGUAGUGGGCUGCCCUUACCCUGUCCUUGACCUAGAAAGCUGGAUUUUUUGAGAGAUCAACAGGUGUUAGAGAUCUUCAAGAGGAGAAGGACACAAUAAUGCAGCCUCAGUGGUACAUGGCGCUCCAGCGCCUGCUUUCCAGGUCUCUCCACCAGUUGCUUUCCACGUCCCUUCACCCACUGCAGUCCAGGUCCCUCCACAUGCCAAGAUAAGGUCUAGGUCACUGCACUGGCUACUGCCCAGGUCCCCCAGCAGUCAAGGUCUUUCCAGUGGCUGCUGUGCAGGUCCCACCACCGUCUCUUCAGUGGCUGCUGUGCAGGUCCCACCACCGUAUGCGGUCAUGGUCCCUGUACAGGCUGUAGUCCAGGUUCUUCCUUCCACUGCGGUUCAGGUACCUCCAACAGCUGAGAACCAGGUCUCUGCAGCAGCUGCGGUUUAAAUACUCCACCCGCUGUGGUCCACUGCGGUUAACCGUUCGCUUUAAAAUCUUCCAUAAAUGUCUUUUAUUGUAUAGUGUGCAGUAAAAAUAAUCUGUUCGUAUU